GCUAGCGAAGGGCCGCCCGGGUGGCCCGCACGUUCAAACCGUGCAGGUCCCGGUAGAAGUCGGCGUUCGGCACGUCCGCCAGUCCCA
This 87-nucleotide transfer RNA is filed under the name Deinococcus aetherius. RNAcentral's name for it is "tRNA-Leu". The record is from RNAcentral. Lineage: Bacteria; Thermotogati; Deinococcota; Deinococci; Deinococcales; Deinococcaceae.